Molecule: unclassified non-coding RNA, 395 nt
Filed under: soil metagenome
Description: partial contains 5.8S ribosomal RNA, internal transcribed spacer 2, and large subunit ribosomal RNA
Rfam family: 5.8S ribosomal RNA (bases 1-122)
Source: RNAcentral
GAUGAAGAACGUAGCGAAAUGCGAUACUUGGUGUGAAUUGCAGAAUCCCGUGAACCAUCGAGUCUUUGAACGCAAGUUGCGCCCGAAGCCAUCAGGUUGAGGGCACGUCUGCCUGGGCGUCACAUAUCGUUGCCCAAUGACUAUUGCAGUGCAAUAGGAAUUUCUAGGGCGAAUGAUGGCUUCCCGUGAGCGUUGUUGCCUCGCGGUUGGUUGAAAAUCGAGUCCUUGGUAGGGUGUGCCAUGGUAGAUGGUGGUCGAGUUAGAACGAUACCGAUCAUGUGCAUGCUCCCCAAAAUAUGGCCUCUAUGACCCACACGCGUCUUUUGACGCUCAUGACGAGACCUCAGGUCAGGCGGGGCUACCCGCUGAAUUUAAGCAUAUCAAUAAGCGGAGGA